This 401-nucleotide ribosomal RNA is filed under the name Escherichia coli. RNAcentral describes it as "partial 23S ribosomal RNA". It matches the Rfam family "Bacterial large subunit ribosomal RNA", at positions 1 to 432 of the family's 2925-position model. Lineage: Bacteria; Pseudomonadati; Pseudomonadota; Gammaproteobacteria; Enterobacterales; Enterobacteriaceae. The record is from RNAcentral.
GGGUUGUGAGGUUAAGCGACUAAGCGUACACGGUGGAUGCCCUGGCAGUCAGAGGCGAUGAAGGACGUGCUAAUCUGCGAUAAGCGUCGGUGAGGUGAUAUGAACCGUUAUAACCGGCGAUUUCCGAAUGGGGAAACCCAGUGUGUUUCGACACACUAUCAUUAACUGAAUCCAUAGGUUAAUGAGGCGAACCGGGGGAACUGAAACAUCUAAGUACCCCGAGGAAAAGAAAUCAACCGAGAUUCCCCCAGUAGCGGCGAGCGAACGGGGAGGAGCCCAGAGCCUGAAUCAGUGUGUGUGUUAGUGGAAGCGUCUGGAAAGGCGCGCGAUACAGGGUGACAGCCCCGUACACAAAAAUGCACAUACUGUGAGCUCGAUGAGUAGGGCGGGACACGUGGUAU